GAUAAACGCUGGCGGCGUGCAUGAGACAUGCAAGUCGAACGAACGACCUCGGGCUUGCCCGGGGAAGUUAGUGGCGGACGGCUGAGUAACGCGUGGGUGACCUGCCCAGAAGUGGGGAAUAACUGCCCGAAAGGGUGGCUAAUACCGCAUGUGGUCAUUAGUUCAUUCUUCUGACCAAAGCCUUCGGGCGCUUCUGGAGGGGCCUGCGUUCGAUUAGCUCGUUGGUGAGGUAAUGGCUCACCAAGGCGACGAUCGAUAGGUGGUCUGAGAGGAUGAUCACCCAGACUGGGACUGAGACACGGCCCAGACUCCUACGGGAGGCAGCAGCCGGGAAUUUUGCUCAAUGGGGGAAACCCUGAAGCAGCAACGCCGCGUGAGGGAUGAAGGCCUUCGGGUUGUAAACCUCUUUUCUCAGGGACGA
This 421-nucleotide ribosomal RNA is filed under the name uncultured bacterium. Its description in RNAcentral is "bacterial SSU rRNA". It matches the Rfam family "Bacterial small subunit ribosomal RNA", at positions 28 to 448 of the family's 1533-position model. The record is from RNAcentral.